Molecule: transfer-messenger RNA, 408 nt
Filed under: marine eukaryotic metagenome
Rfam family: transfer-messenger RNA
About the family: Bacterial tmRNA, also known as 10Sa RNA or SsrA, is named for its dual tRNA and mRNA-like properties.
Source: RNAcentral
GGGGCUGACAUGGCAUUGACGGUAGGAUCAAUCGGAAUGGCAGCAUGCCGAGCGUUGGGAAUCCGGCUCGUAAAUCUCAAUUCCCGUCGCCUAUAAAUGGCAACGAAGACUACGCACUCGCUGCUUAAUCACGCGAAAGCGGUUUAAGCUUCAUCCCGACGACAAGAGGUCGCGGGACGAGUCGCCUCUCCGGCGGCGCUGACCAGCCGCGGCCGGGCCAAGAGGUGUCACCACAAAGCUGGUAUAGCUCAGUCACCGCCCCGAUGGCUGGGUGAAACUAAAGGGGCUAGGAAACGUCGAAGGUUGGUUCCUGACCAUGUCGUUUCCGAAAUUCAAACAAGGAACUAAGCAUGUAGAAACCAUUUCGGUUUCUUAUCCGGACGCGGGUUCGAUUCCCGCCAGCUCCAC